GAUGAAGAACGUAGCAAAAUGCGAUAAGUAAUGUGAAUUGCAGAAUUCAGUGAAUCAUCGAAUCUUUGAACGCACAUUGCGCCCGCUGGUAUUCCGGCGGGCAUGCCUGUUCGAGCGUCAUUUCAACCCUCAAGCCCCCGGGUUUGGUGUUGGGGAUCGGCUCUGCCCUUCUGGGCGGUGCCGCCCCCGAAAUACAUUGGCGGUCUCGCUGCAGCCUCCAUUGCGUAGUAGCUAACACCUCGCAACUGGAACGCGGCGCGGCCAUGCCGUAAAACACCAACUUCUGAAUGUUGACCUCGGAUCAGGUAGGAAUACCCGCUGAACUUAAGCAUAUCAAUAAGCGGAGGA
This 348-nucleotide unclassified non-coding RNA is filed under the name soil metagenome. Its description in RNAcentral is "partial contains 5.8S ribosomal RNA, internal transcribed spacer 2, and large subunit ribosomal RNA". The stretch from base 1 to 120 matches the Rfam family "5.8S ribosomal RNA", at positions 35 to 154 of the family's 154-position model. The record is from RNAcentral.